Molecule: ribosomal RNA, 253 nt
Filed under: uncultured bacterium
Lineage: Bacteria
Description: partial 16S ribosomal RNA
Rfam family: Bacterial small subunit ribosomal RNA
Source: RNAcentral
UACGAAGGUCCCUAGCGUUGUUCGGAAUUAUUGGGCGUAAAGCGCAGGUAGGUGGCUUUUCAAGUCAGGUGUGAAAGCCUGGGGCUUGACCCGAGAAGUGCACUUGAAACUGCUUAGCUUGAGUACGGGAGAGGUGAGUGGAAUUCCUGGUGUAGUGGUGAAAUGCGUAGAUAUCAGGAGGAACACCGGUGGCGAAGGCGGCUCACUGGACCAGUACUGACACUGAGCUGCGAAAGCAUGGGGAUCAAACAGG